AGAGUUUGAUCCUGGCUCAGGAUGAACGCUAGCUACAGGCUUAACACAUGCAAGUCGAGGGGAAACGACAUCGAAAGCUUGCUUUUGAUGGGCGUCGACCGGCGCACGGGUGAGUAACGCGUAUCCAACCUGCCCACCACUUGGGGAUAACCUUGCGAAAGUAAGACUAAUACCCAAUGAUAUCUCUAGAAGACAUCUGAAAGAGAUUAAAGAUUUAUCGGUGAUGGAUGGGGAUGCGUCUGAUUAGCUUGUUGGCGGGGUAACGGCCCACCAAGGCAACGAUCAGUAGGGGUUCUGAGAGGAAGGUCCCCCACAUUGGAGCUGAGACACGGUCUAAACUCCUACGGGAGGUCAGCA
This 357-nucleotide ribosomal RNA is filed under the name uncultured bacterium. RNAcentral's name for it is "bacterial SSU rRNA". It matches the Rfam family "Bacterial small subunit ribosomal RNA", at positions 8 to 353 of the family's 1533-position model. The record is from RNAcentral.